Molecule: ribosomal RNA, 314 nt
Filed under: uncultured bacterium
Lineage: Bacteria
Description: partial 16S ribosomal RNA
Rfam family: Bacterial small subunit ribosomal RNA
Source: RNAcentral
UUAUAAGAGACAGCAGUAGCCACGGUAAUACGGAGGGUGCAAGCGUUAAUCGGAAUUACUGGGCGUAAAGCGCACGCAGGCGGUCUGUCAAGUCAGAUGUGAAAUCCCCGGGCUUAACCUGGGAACUGCAUUUGAAACUGGCAGGCUAGAGUCUUGUAGAGGGGGGUAGAAUUCCAGGUGUAGCGGUGAAAUGCGUAGAGAUCUGGAGGAAUACCGGUGGCGAAGGCGGCCCCCUGGACAAAGACUGACGCUCAGGUGCGAAAGCGUGGGGAGCAAACAGGAUUAGAUACCCGCGUAGUCCCUGUCUCUUAUAA